CCGCCACCCUUUGAGCCAUGUGUGAAGCAAACAGGGACCCCAUGGAGGUUUAUCACAACUGAAGCCAGGGAAAUAAGCAAAAUAAGACCCAAAGCUUAGACAAAGCAGAAGAGAGAAAACAACUCACAUGGAAAAUGAAGACCCAAAGAAGAUCACUACAUUUGUGUUUCUCAUUUACCUCUAUGGCCAUGCUUGGAGUUCAGAUUGUUCCUGUGCAAGUUUCUGAAUCCAUUGGCUAAAUUUCAAUCAGAUCUUACAGCGCAGGGAAGAGGUUUCAAAGUUCAUCCAGGUCUCAGCAGAAGCAGAUUUGAAGGGCAGUGGAG
This 323-nucleotide long non-coding RNA is filed under the name Anser brachyrhynchus (Pink-footed goose). Its description in RNAcentral is "lncRNA (ENSABRG00000018649.1)". The record is from RNAcentral. Lineage: Eukaryota; Metazoa; Chordata; Aves; Anseriformes; Anatidae.